This 923-nucleotide long non-coding RNA is filed under the name Sus scrofa (pig). The record is from RNAcentral. Lineage: Eukaryota; Metazoa; Chordata; Mammalia; Artiodactyla; Suidae.
GUGAGCGUGAGCUCCUCGCCUGGCCCUGGGUAGUGCACCUGUUGCCUUCCAGGUUGCCCGUCAGGUUCCGAGGCCCACCGGGGACAACCCCAUUGCCCUGGGAAGCUCUCUCUGGAGUCGUCACGGUGAGGGAGGUGGGCCUGCUCCCUGGUGGGGCGGUUGCCAUCUCGUCGUGGUUGCACUGUCUUCGCUGGGGUUGCACGCGGGUGUGGCAGCCAUCGAUUCUGGCGGCCGCGACCAUGCGAAGAGGGACUGUCAUACUUUCCAAACGGACCUCCUUGUGAGGCACCUGGACUAGUCUGAAGCCACAAUCCUGAUGAAGCUCGUGGUAAAAACGCCUACGUGGGUGAGAACCUAAGCCCAAGUGAGCUCCCAACUAGCACCUGCUACAGCUGGAUGAGUGAGGCCACUUUGGACCUUCCGGCCAUCUCAACACCCAAGCCAACACCGUGGGAAGCAGAAGAACCUUCCAGUCAGUCAACAGAAUUGUAAGAAAAUAAGCUGCUGACCUAGUUCCCGGCUACUGAGAUCCUGACUAAUUGUCAUCCCUUGCAAGCAGACCUUCACUGAACCUUAGGAGCAGAAAAUUCAGAAACAAAAGCAAGAAAUAAAAGAGCUGUCAGAAAGAAUCUACAUAGAACCCUGAAGUUGUGCUUUCAUAACUGAAUAAAUAACUCCUUGAGCAAUAAUUUGUUUGCAAGCUGUUAAUUAGCAGCAUAAUUAAUUUCUGCAGAUUAUAAAUAACAGAGCACAAAGUGGCAUUCCCAGUAGAGCCAAUGAAAAAUUACCUAAACCAUUUUAAGAACCAAAAAUAGUUCACAACGUAACAGAUUUAAAGGGGCUCUAGAAUCCGGGUGGUGCCAUUUUCUUUUUCCUCUGGGUUAAAAAGAAAGAAAGAAAAAAAAUUCCCCAGAAAACUCAAC